Ipomoea nil (Japanese morning glory) is the source of this 570-nucleotide long non-coding RNA. RefSeq lists it as uncharacterized. The transcript is spliced from 2 exons. The record is from RefSeq and is a predicted model, not a curated record. NCBI's taxonomy places the organism in Eukaryota, Viridiplantae, Streptophyta, Magnoliopsida, Solanales, Convolvulaceae.
UCGGAAAGCUACAGAGCGUAUUCUUCUUCUUCCUAUCGCAAAGCUCCAACAACGCCUUCUUCUUCUUCCUAUCGCAAAGCUCCAGUCAUCUUCUUCUUCUUCCUAUCGAACCCACAGCUCUACAAGAUGUCUUCUUCCUCAACUUCAUCAUGUAUUAGAGUAAAUAUGGAGUACGAGCCAAGUGUGUAUUGUAAUUGUGGGUUGAAAGCUCCAAUUUGCACAAGUAGAGAAUCGGGAAAGCAAUUCUUUGGGUGUCAAAGAUGGAAGGAUGGCAAUGGAUGUGUUUUUUUUCUUUGGAAGGAUCACAGUGCAUGAAGGGUUGAAGGUGAGGAUGAAGACAUAAAGAAGAUGGUGGUGUCUUUGAGGUCUGAAAUUGCAGUUGUUAAACAAUUAAUUGUAAAUGAGUAUAGUGGUAUGAAAAAAGAAAACCAAGUGUUGAGGAUCAAGUGUGUUGUUUUCCUAAUUGUAAUUGUGGUCCUUCUAGCAAAAAUCUGUAGUUAGAAAUUGUAAUGGUUUGACAUUGUAAUGAAAUUUUGGUAAAUUACAAUUUAAGUUUCCAGUUUGCAUUGU